CCUACGGGAGGCAGCAGUGAGGAAUAUUGCGCAAUGGAGGCAACUCUGACGCAGCCAUGCCGCGUGCAGGAAGAAGGCGCUACGCGUUGUAAACUGCUUUUAUCCGGGAAGAAACCCCAGGACGUGUCCUGGGUUGACGGUACCGGAGGAAUAAGCACCGGCUAACUUCGUGCCAGCAGCCGCGGUAAUACGAAGGGUGCAAGCGUUAUCCGGAUUCAUUGGGUUUAAAGGGUGCGUAGGUGGGGCGAUAAGUCAGCGGUGAAAUCCUGCAGCUCAACUGCAGAAUUGCCGUUGAUACUGUCGCUCUUGAGUACGCUUGACGUGGGCGGAAUGUGCCGUGUAGCGGUGAAAUGCUUAGAUAUGGCACAGAACACCGAUAGUGAAGACAGCUCACGAAGGCGAAACUGACACUGAGGCACGAAAGCGUGGGGAUCGAACAGGAUUAGAUACCCUGGUAGUCCACGCCGUAAACGAUGAUCACUCGUGAUCGGCGAUAUACGGCCGGUCACCUAGCGAAAGCGUUAAGUGAUCCACCUGGGGAGUACGGCCGCAAGGCUGAAACUCAAAGGAAUUGACGG
This 578-nucleotide ribosomal RNA is filed under the name uncultured bacterium. RNAcentral's name for it is "bacterial SSU rRNA". It matches the Rfam family "Bacterial small subunit ribosomal RNA", at positions 338 to 916 of the family's 1533-position model. The record is from RNAcentral.